This 90-nucleotide non-coding RNA is filed under the name human gut metagenome. Its description in RNAcentral is "TPP riboswitch (THI element)". It matches the Rfam family "TPP riboswitch aptamer (THI element)", at positions 11 to 88 of the family's 105-position model. Rfam says of the family: Vitamin B(1) in its active form thiamin pyrophosphate (TPP) is an essential coenzyme that is synthesised by coupling of pyrimidine and thiazole moieties in bacteria. The previously detected thiamin-regulatory element, thi box was extended, resulting in a new, highly conserved RNA secondary structure, the THI element, which is widely distributed in eubacteria and also occurs in some archaea. The record is from RNAcentral.
AGAGGGAGCUCGUGAAGCGGGCUGAGAGGAAGUCAUCAACUUCGACCUGUAGAACCUGAUUUGGGUAAUUCCAACGUAGGGAGAGAAUGC